RNAcentral lists this long non-coding RNA (459 nucleotides) under Mustela putorius furo (domestic ferret). RNAcentral describes it as "lncRNA (ENSMPUG00000030755.1)". Lineage: Eukaryota; Metazoa; Chordata; Mammalia; Carnivora; Mustelidae. The record is from RNAcentral.
CUGAACAUCUUUUCCUGCAUCUGUUGGCUACCUGGAUAUCUUCCUGGAGGCAUUCUUUCUGAGUUCAGGCCAUGGCAACAUGAGGAGGAUAGAAACCACACAGUGGCCACACAAAUAGAAGCCAUACUUGGAAUGGAAGCCAUAGUGGAAGAAUCUGGUGGAAAGCCUCAGUUUUUGAUGACAACAUGGAGAAGACUUGCUGGCUCUAAACUGUUUACUGCUGGAUUUCUUUUACGUAAAAUAUAAUAAAUAGGUGUCUAUGCUAUUUAUAUCUCUGUUCUCUUGAGUUUUUCUAUUUCCAGUUUUCCUCCAAUCAGUUUGGGCUGUUUAAAGUCUAAUUAUUGAAACACUUUAAUGCAUCUUAAUAGUGGAAUGUGUAACUCUCUCAUAAAUUUCUUUAUACCAUUUUAGCCCAGUUUAUCAAUUGUAUAAACUACAGUAACAUUUUGUAAUCACAAA